This 1269-nucleotide long non-coding RNA is filed under the name Lactuca sativa (garden lettuce). RNAcentral describes it as "long non-coding RNA (LSAT_LNC005283)". Lineage: Eukaryota; Viridiplantae; Streptophyta; Magnoliopsida; Asterales; Asteraceae. The record is from RNAcentral.
UAUCAAUUCCAUUCCUUUGUGAAUAAUGGUUUUGUGAAUAAUCAGUCAUUUUGUGUUUCUGGACAAUGCAAAUGGAUUCCACUCAGCAGUGUUAAUUUUAAUUUUCUAGUCAUUUGAUUUUCAAGUUUUUACAUUUACAAUAUAAGCUUUUUAUACUUUAGACAUUCAAUUGUUUAAUUAUUUAAGUCACCAAUCAUAAAUAAAAAAUAAAUAAAUAAAUAAAAUAAAUAAAAAACAUCCGACUUUCCAUUUGUUGACUUUUUGACCGACUUUGACAGAGCCCAAUAUCAAAAUGAAGACCGAAGAGGAAUAUGUUGAAAUUUCUAUAGCCCUUGCUUGUUGUUUCUUUAUGUAUAGAUAACAACAUCUAACAGAAACAAAUAAUACAACACAUAUAAUAAGCAAAGCAAUUAACACAUCUAUCUAACAACUACAAAGCCAAUUACUGUUUGAGAAAAGAAUUGUUAUCCCAACAGUUUGUGAUGCUUAACUACUCCAUGACUCAAAAUUCUAUCAAUAAUUACUAUAAGAAUUUUUUGAGACUGCUGAUCAGGAAUCCUCAGAGGAAUAUAUGCCAAAAUGACCAUAUUGUCCUUUUUAAUUCUCUAAUCCUUCUUUGAUGUACCUGAAAGAAAGUGAGCAAACCAAAAUGAAUGAAANAAGUGAGCAAACCAAACCAUGAAUGAAAGGGCAUUUUGGUCAUUUGAUCAACACUCAACUCAAGACAUUUUUAAUGAAUCCAUUAGUGGCAUCACACUAGGAAAACUUUGCAUCUCCAUCAAAGCCAAAACGCUUCCUUGUCCUUCGUGAACAGUUGUAGUUCCUUUGUAUUUGUAUUUCUGCUCUUGUUUUUCUGUUGCGAAAACAGAAAUCAAAUCUCUUACCUUUAAAUUUGAACCGCUACCUGUGUUUGUCUAUUGCAAAAACAGAAAUCAAAGCUCUUACCCUUUAAAUUUGAACCGCAGGUCCAGUGGUGGGAUUUUCAGGUUGGUUGAAUUAUUGGAGGUGCCAGGCGAGGCGAGGUUGGCCGAUGAUGAUGAUGUUGCGACAGGGGAGAUGGAGAUGAAGGACCGAUUAGUGUGGGAGGAGGAAGUUAAGUAUGUGAGGAGGAGGAGGCGUAUUCAAUUUAGGUAUUAGUCGUACUUAAUCAAAAUGGGGGCGUAUUUUUAGUUAUUUGAUUUUGUUUCUAGUAAAUCUCAUUAACCAUAUUAAAUGCUGCAGUUAACCGUAUUAGAUGCUGCAAUUGUAUGUAUUAUAUUUAUUUAUCCC